CAAGAAUUGUUAUUUCUAAUCAUUCUGCUGAUGAUAUAUUGUCACUUUGCCAAUCAAAUUGCAUAAUGUUUCAUUUAAUGUGAUUGUAGUUGGAAUAGUGCAUCGAUUUUUUGAAGGUUGAAAAUAAAUAUGAGACGAACAUUAACAAAUAAUGUAACCCUAUUUGUCUCUCUCUCAAAACCAAGGAAAUCCUUGUUCACCUUGCCAAAAUUCAAACCAUUUUUCCAAGGAUCGAACAUUUUGGUCCAUCCUAUUCACUUUUCCUCUAACGGAUCAUACAUCUGUACAUAUUUUUCCCAAAAAUUGUCACAAAUUCUAAUUUGUACCCGAGGACUAAUGUGGCAACUGUCCACAUUCCAGCACCGUGUAAUGUCACAUCCUCCACAUCCACGCAGUCGGUCUUCCUUGGUUCUCAUGUAGGCAUGGUUACUUGAAACCAAUUUAUGCUAUUCCCUCAUUUAAUUCCCAAUGGGUUGUUCUCC
RNAcentral lists this long non-coding RNA (482 nucleotides) under Setaria viridis. RNAcentral describes it as "long non-coding RNA (SVIR_LNC001678)". Lineage: Eukaryota; Viridiplantae; Streptophyta; Magnoliopsida; Poales; Poaceae. The record is from RNAcentral.